Molecule: long non-coding RNA, 835 nt
Organism: Pezoporus flaviventris
Lineage: Eukaryota; Metazoa; Chordata; Aves; Psittaciformes; Psittacidae
Exons: 2
Source: RefSeq, a predicted model, not a curated record
UCUUUUGGGGGCUUCCUCUCAGUUUUUCUGUGGCAGCUCACCUCAGAUUUUAGAUGAGUGUUUUUGUCAGAGUACUGUGUGUGUGUCUUAAGCUUAAAGCUACAGUCCAAAGGUUGUGAACUCUAUGUUCCUGUAUUUUGCAAGGAUGUCUGCAUUGCACAAUGCAGCAUGAUGCAGCAGCAUUUAAUGUAGUUGAGUCUGAGCUGGGUCCGUAACUGGAAUUAAGAGAUCCGUGUCAAGGUUGCGUGGAGAGAGGUAAGGAGAUGGAAGUGUUCAAAGGAAUUAAAGGCCCGUGUGAAAGAGUGCCUCCCACUGCUGCUCACUGUCCCAAAACUUCAGCGAAAGACAUCACGGUUGCUGGAAAUGGUGAAGAUAUUUCCCUUACAUGGGAGGAAAAGCUGUGAAAAAGAAGUUUUUGACAGGAUAGAAAGCAAAAGGCUUAAGGGAUAAAAAUACAAGUGCAUGAUUCGUACAACAUCUCUUUUGCAAAUAGCCCAGUAUCUGGAUAGUUGACAAAAAGUGGUAGAGAAGAGCUAGAAGGCUUGUUUGCAAAAACAGAUGACAUCAGAUAUUUCAUUGAAGAUAAAUAAGUUUUUACUGGUAUAGUUGAACAACGCAUAUCCUACUCUCCAGAUGCCCCCUGUGCAAUAACAGAGUUCAAGUGAAGGAUAUAAAGAAGAAACCAUUCUGCUUAACUGUGAUCAUUUGAAGAGUCCCCUGGCUCAAUCCAUCUUCUCUUAUCCUCCCAGCCCCAAACCUGGGAGAAGAGAGUAGUGAUGGCACUAACGUCUGGAUUUAUCUUGCAAACCAGUGAGCAAUAAAAAGAUUUUCAGUA